RNAcentral lists this ribosomal RNA (496 nucleotides) under uncultured bacterium. RNAcentral describes it as "partial 16S ribosomal RNA". It matches the Rfam family "Bacterial small subunit ribosomal RNA", at positions 29 to 507 of the family's 1533-position model. The record is from RNAcentral.
AUGAACGCUGGCGGCGUGCCUAAUACAUGCAAGUCGAGCGAACAGACGAGGAGCUUGCUCCUCUGACGUUAGCGGCGGACGGGUGAGUAACACGUGGAUAACCUACCUAUAAGACUGGGAUAACUUCGGGAAACCGGAGCUAAUACCGGAUAAUAUAUUGAACCGCAUGGUUCAAUAGUGAAAGACGGUUUUGCUGUCACUUAUAGAUGGAUCCGCGCCGCAUUAGCUAGUUGGUAAGGUAACGGCUUACCAAGGCAACGAUGCGUAGCCGACCUGAGAGGGUGAUCGGCCACACUGGAACUGAGACACGGUCCAGACUCCUACGGGAGGCAGCAGUAGGGAAUCUUCCGCAAUGGGCGAAAGCUUGACGGAGCAACGCCGCGUGAGUGAUGAAGGUCUUCGGAUCGUAAAACUCUGUUAUUAGGGAAGAACAAAUGUGUAAGUAACUAUGCACGUUUUGACGGUACCUAAUCAGAAAGCCACGGCUAACUACGUG